CGGGGCGUGGCGCAGGCGGUAGCGCGCAGCGUUCGGGACGCUGAGGUCGGAGGUUCGAGUCCUCUCGCCCCGACCA
This 76-nucleotide transfer RNA is filed under the name Chloroflexota bacterium. RNAcentral describes it as "tRNA-Pro". It matches the Rfam family "tRNA". Rfam says of the family: Transfer RNA (tRNA) molecules are approximately 80 nucleotides in length. RNAcentral also lists the same sequence under 1 other name. Lineage: Bacteria; Bacillati; Chloroflexota. The record is from RNAcentral.